This 428-nucleotide ribosomal RNA is filed under the name uncultured prokaryote. RNAcentral's name for it is "bacterial SSU rRNA". It matches the Rfam family "Bacterial small subunit ribosomal RNA", at positions 355 to 774 of the family's 1533-position model. The record is from RNAcentral.
UGAGGAAUUUUGCGCAAUGGGAGCAAUCCUGACGCAGCAACGCCGCGUGGGUGAUGAAGGCCUUCGGGUCGUAAAGCCCUGUCAGGUGGGAAGAAUGUCCUGGAAUUGAACAGGUUUCGGGAGUGACGGUACCACCAGAGGAAGCACCGGCUAACUCCGUGCCAGCAGCCGCGGUAAUACGGAGGGUGCACGCGUUAUUCGGAAUUACUGGGCGUAAAGCGCGUGUAGGCGGUCCUGCAAGUCUGAUGUGAAGGCCCCGGGCUUAACCCGGGAAGUGCAUUGGAAACUGCAGGGCUUGAGUACUGGAGAGGCAGGGGGAAUUCCCGGUGUAGAGGUGAAAUGCGUAGAGAUCGGGAGGAAUAUCAGUGGCGAAGGCGCCCAUCUGGACGGUAACUGACGCUGAGACGCGAAAGCGUGGGGAGCAAACA